RNAcentral lists this unclassified non-coding RNA (212 nucleotides) under Hevea brasiliensis (rubber tree). Lineage: Eukaryota; Viridiplantae; Streptophyta; Magnoliopsida; Malpighiales; Euphorbiaceae. The record is from RNAcentral.
GUGCCAUUUGAUGCUGCCAUGGAUCUCUAGGUCAUUGGAUGCCUAGGAUUAGAUCUCGAGUUGUCUGUAACCAAGAAUGGAGUGAGGCCAGUGAUCAUUUGGCAGCCACUUCGAUGCUCAAGUCAGUAAAGACAUUUGAGAGAAAUGGCAAUGAAGCAGUAUUAUUGAGAAUGUGUAAAAACGUACCUGAUUACUAUAGUAGGAGACAGCCA